CUAGGUUAUUUUAGAAAUAUGCUCAUACUUUAGAUUAUUCUGAGAGCAUAAUGGAAAUGCGAUUUAGGGCAUGAAGCUCCUAUUACCGAUUUGGCUGUAAAAUUCUUCAAAGAUUAUAGAGAUGGUUAAUGUGGACCUACUAUCAUGGAAGUGACUGGAUUAGCUUGUCAGAAGUGGUAUAUUCAAGAAAAGUGGUACACACCUAGAAACAAUAUGAUUCUGACCUUCUCUGUUUCAUAAAUAUAGAAAAUGAAUAUACCUCCAAGCUAGGGUAUGUUGGUGAAUUAGGACUUUACUAUAUUUUGUUUCUAACCAAUUCAAUAUCAUUAAUCUGUUAACUGUAGAGGAUAGUGAAAUGGGUGCUAAUGUUCCUAAUAUUGUCGACCACACUGAAUCAUCCACGGUAGAUAAUGAGGUUGCCACUAAUUGUAGUUCAAAUGAAAGUAAAGAUGAUAGUUGACAGUCGUAUUAUGAUUCUGAAGAGUUAGAGACACUUGCACUACAAAAAAAAGGGAUAUUUCUGAUAGGUUGACUGAAUACAAGGAACUGUAUAAGAAAAUGACAUUCAAGGAUAUACAUGAGGCUCAAAAAGUGAUAAAUAUGUAUUGUUUAGCUUAUUGUUAUGGUAGAGGUUAAAAGUGAUACUAAGAGGCUAAGGUAUACUUGUGAGGUAGCUGCCCCUUUAUUUUUCACAUUUCUAAGGAUAAAAAUUGUGUUGGGGUUAGAAUUAAAACAAUGAAGGCAAAGCAUAAGUGUAACCCUUCUUUGGAUAACCAUAGGGUUGAUUAUACUAUCAUAGCACAAUAUCUAAAGACCAAAUUGCAGGAGAAUCACAAGAUAAAGGUUACGAAGAUAAAAGUAGCUCUGAAAACUACAUUCAACAUUAAUGUUAGUCAUUCAAAAUGUAAGAGAGCCAAAAGAAUGACCUUAAAAAUUCUUUAUGGUAGUUUUAUGUUUAAUUAUAAUAAACUAGAGGCAUAUGCUAAUUAAUUAUGGCUAAUUAAUCCACGAAUUGAUGUGAUAAUUAACAUAUCCAAGGAUGCACUCGCUAAAGGCAAGAGAAGAUUUUCUAGGAUGCAUAUCUAUUUUCAUGAUCUAGGGGUUUAAUAGUGGGCUAAGACCCUUUAUUGGCUUGAAUAGAACAUUCUUAAAAGGAAAAGGAAAAGGCCAACUCUUAAUCGUUGUUGCUGUUGACUCAAUGAAGCAUUUUUAUGUUAUAGCUUGGGCUAUUGUGGAUAAAAAAUGAAAGUCACCUGGAACUGAUUCCUGUCCUUGUUGACGAAUUCAUUAGACCUCACACUGGGGGAAAGAUUCACAUUUAUGUCAUACAUGCAGAAGGGCUUAAUAGAGGCAAUUCAAGAUGUCAUUCGCGAUGUACCCCACAGAUCCUGUGUGAGGCACAUGGAGGAUAACUAGUGCAAUGAAGUGAUGGGGAGUUGAAGAAGUAAUUUCCGUGGUGUUCAUGGAACAGUUAUGAUGAAGACUUUAAGGACCAAUUGAAGAACUUGGGGGAAGUUGAAUAAAGAAGUUAUUAAAGAGUUGUUGAGGGUAUCCUCCCAAGUCAUGGUGUAGAUCAUACUUUGACACAGUAUUCAAGAACCAACAAGUUGACAAUAACUUAAUCAAGUCCUUGAAUUCAUGGAUAUUGGAUGCUAGGCACAAGCCUAUUAUAAAGAUGCUUGAGGACAUAAAGGUUAAAAUGAUGAAUAUGUUGAGAGAGCAUGAAAGUGAUGUGAUGAUAUGGGCAUGAGAGUUUAGUCAUCAAACUAUGAAGUUGUAAAACUAGUUCUUAAAGAUUACAUAUAAAUAUAUUGUUGACUUCAAUGGGGAAUUGGGUUAUGAGGUGAAUGAAGGACCUAAAAAGCACAGUGUGAACCUAAAAUUAAAAAGGUGUACUUUCAGGACAUGGGACCUCACUAGAAUCCCAUGUCAUUGUACUAUCAUAGCAUUGCUACAUAAGAAAUUAGACCCUUUGAAUGGGAUUCAUCAGUGGUACACCAAGGAAGAUUUUCUCUUAACUUAUUCACAUAAGUUAUAACCAAUUAGAGGAGAGAAGUUCUGAAAGGUAGACCCAACUCAUGCAAUGGAGCCACCAGUGAUGGUGAAGAUGGCUAGUAGUCCUAGAGUGAAGAAAAUUAGAGAAAAGAAUGAGUCAACUAGUAGGCAAAGGAAGUGGUCUCAAUCUAGAAAAUGAAGGGUGAUGACUUGUUCUAUAUGUGGACAGUCCGGGCAUAAUUCAAGGGGAUGUCAAAAGCAUGUUAAAGAAAAGCAACCAAAGUAAGAUAAAGAAGAGGCUAAGAUCAUUGUUUGAUAAAGAUAGUAAAAGAAA
Nicotiana tabacum (common tobacco) is the source of this 2329-nucleotide non-coding RNA. Lineage: Eukaryota; Viridiplantae; Streptophyta; Magnoliopsida; Solanales; Solanaceae. The record is from RefSeq and is a predicted model, not a curated record.